Pistacia vera is the source of this 1896-nucleotide long non-coding RNA. RefSeq lists it as uncharacterized. NCBI's taxonomy places the organism in Eukaryota, Viridiplantae, Streptophyta, Magnoliopsida, Sapindales, Anacardiaceae. The record is from RefSeq and is a predicted model, not a curated record. The transcript has 9 exons.
AUCAGUCAGUUCAAGACACGAGAGAAUUGAAACACCACCUGGGCAUAGAGAGUCCAGUCAAUAAGAAAGUCCUGGUUGCAGCAUCACCUUACACCUGAAUACAGGAAGUCCUAGUGCAAUCCAAUACCCAGUAGAAGGUAAAACAAUGACAUAAACCCUUUCAAUCUAACAAAUCAACAAAUACAAAUCCAUUAAUAAUUAAUUUUAUUUAAAACAUCCGUUAGAGAGAGAAAUACACCACUCUUCAACGGCAUGAUACUUGUUCCGAGUGCUGGAUUCAAAUAUACCUGGGUUGGCUGAGCGCCCCGUCAACAUCCUCCUCCUUAGAUUUUUGCAGGUCUGCAUACUGUGAUGCUCAUUUACCACCUGAAAACCUGAAAGAAUUCUUGCCACGUCUACUUCCGGUUUUGCUUUCAAAUAUGGUUUAUGCUGAUGAUGAUGAUGAGUCACUUCUCGAAGCCGAGGAGGAUGAGUCUCUCCCAGACAGGGACCAAGUUUAUACUUUAUAAUUUUCAUUUUUGAAUAUAUGUGUGUUCAUCUAUUGUUUGUUCUGAAAUCAUGUUGUCUUGCUUGAUAUAUUUUAUGGAGUUAAUCUAUGUACACCACAGGAUCUAAAACCUCGUUUUCAUUCAUCACGGUUUCACGGAUAAGAAAACUUGGAAGAUGAUGAUGAUGACAUAGUUAAUGUAUGGAAUUUGCGGAAGUGCAGUGCAGCGGCGCUUGAUGUUCUCUCCAACGUGUUUGGGGAUGAGAUUCUUCCAACUUUGAUGCCUAUUAUUCAGGCAACAUCAAUUUAGUUCACAUAGCUGCUAAGAUUUAAUUUCAAUGAAUCUAAAAUUUUCUGCUAGUAGCUCUGCUUUCAAGUACAUGUUUUGGUUCUCAAGAAUUUUUGCAGGCUAAGUUGGCAACUACUGGCGAUGCAGCCCUGUUUUGGCUCUUGGUGCUGUUGCAGAAGGUUGCAUUAAUGGCCUUUACCCUCAUUUAUCUGAGAUUGUGGCGUUUCUUAUCCCACUUUUAGAAGAUAAGUUUCCUCUAAUAGGAGUAUUUCUUGUUGGACACUUUCUUGAUUCAGCAAAUUUAUUGUUCAGGGUUCAUUAAUGAGUCCCCAUGACUACCAUUGCAAUCUAGGUCCAGAUGGUCGGAGUAGGGAUGCUGAUGAGAGAUUGGAACUAUGUGACCUUUUUUCACUUCAAAGGAAUACAUGGGUUCAUUAAUGAGACUCCCGUGACUACCAUUGCAAUCUAGGUCCAGAUGGUUGGCGUAGGGAUGCUGAUGAGAGACGUGAACUGUGUAAUUUGUUGCUUCAAAGGAAUACAUGGAAGAAAAUGGAAAACAAAAACGAAAAGGAAGACUUAGAGAUAAUCGAUUACAAGAUUGAAACUUGCGAUCAAGAAAUUGAGUCUUUAAGGCCGGUGCGUGUCCAAGCAGAACCUUGACUUCACCAGAUCUUCAUCUUCCACAAUUGCUAGUCUCCAGCUUCAAUUGGUUCUGGUCAGCGAAAUAUGUUGAGGAGGGGAACUGACUGAGUAUUGUUUCCACAUAAUCAGAUUUUUGGUGUUUGAGAUGAAGAAGCUGAGUCACCAGAAGAAAAAAAACCAGGGGAUGUCAUGCCCAUUGAUUAGCCAUUGGUUUUGUCUGGUAAUGGCAUGGUGUCGGUGCUGAACCUGUUUUGUUUUGGUUUUCGAAUUUUCCAGUGUUUCCCAAAACCAAAGCAUUGGCUCCCUGAAAAUGUUGCAGUUGUUUUCCAAGGCCAGUUGUAUUCCACUACUCGGUCAUGGGUCAAUUUAAGUCUCAAUUGUUGUAGAAUGGGGCUGAAACUAUAUUGUAUCUACAUUUGGGUUAGACAAAAGCCCAAGAUCCUUUAAUUCUAUUGUUUGAGAAAUUUCGUAUUUGUUA